AGCUUUGUGCAGUGGCAGUAUCGUAGCCAAUGAGGUUUAUUCAAGGCACGAUUAUUGCUAAUUGAAAACAAUAUAAAUAUAUUAUGGUAACUCUAACCAAGAAAGUUAAAGACCUAUAUGACAAGAACUUCAAAUCUUUGAAGAU
This is a small nuclear RNA of Peromyscus maniculatus bairdii (prairie deer mouse), 145 nucleotides long. RefSeq annotates it as U4 spliceosomal RNA. The record is from RefSeq and is a predicted model, not a curated record. NCBI's taxonomy places the organism in Eukaryota, Metazoa, Chordata, Mammalia, Rodentia, Cricetidae.